GAGUUAUCUGAACCUUCGGGGAACGAUAACGGCGUCGAGCGGCGGACGGGUGAGUAAUGCCUAGGAAAUUGCCCUGAUGUGGGGGAUAACCAUUGGAAACGAUGGCUAAUACCGCAUGAUGCCUACGGGCCAAAGAGGGGGACCUUCGGGCCUCUCGCGUCAGGAUAUGCCUAGGUGGGAUUAGCUAGUUGGUGAGGUAAGGGCUCACCAAGGCGACGAUCCCUAGCUGGUCUGAGAGGAUGAUCAGCCACACUGGAACUGAGACACGGUCCAGACUCCUACGGGAGGCAGCAGUGGGGAAUAUUGCACAAUGGGCGCAAGCCUGAUGCAGCCAUGCCGCGUGUGUGAAGAAGGCCUUCGGGUUGUAAAGCACUUUCAGUCGUGAGGAAGGUAGUGUAGUUAAUAGCUGCAUUAUUUGACGUUAGCGACAGAAGAAGCACCGGCUAACUCCGUGCCAGCAGCCGCGGUAAUACGGAGGGUGCGAGCGUUAAUCGGAAUUACUGGGCGUAAAGCGCAUGCAGGUGGUUUGUUAAGUCAGAUGUGAAAGCCCGGGGCUCAACCUCGGAAUAGCAUUUGAAACUGGCAGACUAGAGUACUGUAGAGGGGGGUAGAAUUUCAGGUGUAGCGGUGAAAUGCGUAGAGAUCUGAAGGAAUACCGGUGGCGAAGGCGGCCCCCUGGACAGAUACUGACACUCAGAUGCGAAAGCGUGGGGAGCAAACAGGAUUAGAUACCCUGGUAGUCCACGCCGUAAACGAUGUCUACUUGGAGGUUGUGGCCUUGAGCCGUGGCUUUCGGAGCUAACGCGUUAAGUAGACCGCCUGGGGAGUACGGUCGCAAGAUUAAAACUCAAAUGAAUUGACGGGGGCCCGCACAAGCGGUGGAGCAUGUGGUUUAAUUCGAUGCAACGCGAAGAACCUUACCUACUCUUGACAUCCAGAGAACUUUCCAGAGAUGGAUUGGUGCCUUCGGGAACUCUGAGACAGGUGCUGCAUGGCUGUCGUCAGCUCGUGUUGUGAAAUGUUGGGUUAAGUCCCGCAACGAGCGCAACCCUUAUCCUUGUUUGCCAGCGAGUAAUGUCGGGAACUCCAGGGAGACUGCCGGUGAUAAACCGGAGGAAGGUGGGGACGACGUCAAGUCAUCAUGGCCCUUACGAGUAGGGCUACACACGUGCUACAAUGGCGCAUACAGAGGGCGGCCAACUUGCGAAAGUGAGCGAAUCCCAAAAAGUGCGUCGUAGUCCGGAUUGGAGUCUGCAACUCGACUCCAUGAAGUCGGAAUCGCUAGUAAUCGUGGAUCAGAAUGCCACGGUGAAUACGUUCCCGGGCCUUGUACACACCGCCCGUCACACCAUGGGAGUGGGCUGCAAAAGAAGUAGGUAG
This 1380-nucleotide ribosomal RNA is filed under the name Vibrio sp. Its description in RNAcentral is "bacterial SSU rRNA". It matches the Rfam family "Bacterial small subunit ribosomal RNA", at positions 68 to 1433 of the family's 1533-position model. Lineage: Bacteria; Pseudomonadati; Pseudomonadota; Gammaproteobacteria; Vibrionales; Vibrionaceae. The record is from RNAcentral.